UGGGGAAUAUUGGACAAUGGGCGCAAGCCUGAUCCAGCCAUGCCGCGUGUGUGAUGAAGGCCCUAGGGUUGUAAAGCACUUUCAACGGUGAAGAUAAUGACGGUAACCGUAGAAGAAGCUCCGGCUAACUUCGUGCCAGCAGCCGCGGUAAUACGAAGGGAGCUAGCGUUGUUCGGAAUCACUGGGCGUAAAGGGCGCGUAGGCGGCUGCUUAAGUCGAGGGUGAAAGCCCGGGGCUCAACCUCGGAACGGCCUUCGAGACUGGGCGGCUAGAGAUCGGAAGAGGAGGGUGGAAUACCCAGUGUAGAGGUGAAAUUCGUAGAUAUUGGGUGGAACACCAGUGGCGAAAGCGGCUCUCUGGUCCGGAUCUGACGCUGAGGCGCGAAAGCGUGGGGAGCAAACAGGAUUAGAUACCCCGGUAGUCC
RNAcentral lists this ribosomal RNA (424 nucleotides) under uncultured prokaryote. Its description in RNAcentral is "bacterial SSU rRNA". It matches the Rfam family "Bacterial small subunit ribosomal RNA", at positions 355 to 796 of the family's 1533-position model. The record is from RNAcentral.